This 373-nucleotide ribosomal RNA is filed under the name uncultured bacterium. RNAcentral's name for it is "bacterial SSU rRNA". It matches the Rfam family "Bacterial small subunit ribosomal RNA", at positions 521 to 896 of the family's 1533-position model. The record is from RNAcentral.
UAAUACGGAGGGUGCAAGCGUUAUCCGGAUUUACUGGGUUUAAAGGGUGCGCAGGCGGAUAUGUAAGUCAGUGGUGAAAUCUCCGGGCUUAACCCGGAAACUGCCGUUGAUACUAUAUAUCUUGAAUGCUGUGGAGGUAAGCAGAAUAUGUCAUGUAGCGGUGAAAUGCUUAGAUAUGACAUAGAAUACCUAUUGCGAAGGCAGCUUACUACGCAGAUAUUGACGCUCAUGCACGAAAGCGUGGGGAUCAAACAGGAUUAGAUACCCUGGUAGUCCACGCCCUAAACGAUGAUUACUCGACAUACGCGAUAUACAGUGUGUGUCUGAGCGAAAGCAUUAAGUAAUCCACCUGGGAAGUACGAUCGCAAGAUUG